AACGAACGCUGGCGGCAGGCCUAACACAUGCAAGUCGAACGCCGUAGCAAUACGGAGUGGCAGACGGGUGAGUAACGCGCGGGAACCUACCUUACGGUCGGGAAUAGCACAGGGCAACUUGGGGUAAUACCGGAUACGCGCUUACGGGGAAAGAUUUAUCGCCGUUAGAUGGGCCCGCGUAGGCUUAGCUAGUUGGUGAGGUAAUGGCUCACCAAGGCGAAGAUCCUUAGCUGGUCUGAGAGGAUGAUCAGCCACACUGGGACUGAGACACGGCCCAGACUCCUACGGGAGGCAGCAGUGGGGAAUAUUGGACAAUGGGCGCAAGCCUGAUCCAGCCAUGCCGCGUGAGUGACGAAGGCCUUAGGGUUGUAAAGCUCUUUUGGCGGGGAAGAUAAUGACUGUACCCGCAGAAUAAGCUCCGGCUAACUUCGUGCCAGCCGCCGCAGUAA
Molecule: ribosomal RNA, 449 nt
Filed under: uncultured bacterium
Lineage: Bacteria
Description: partial 16S ribosomal RNA
Rfam family: Bacterial small subunit ribosomal RNA
Source: RNAcentral